Molecule: ribosomal RNA, 468 nt
Filed under: uncultured bacterium
Lineage: Bacteria
Description: partial 16S ribosomal RNA
Rfam family: Bacterial small subunit ribosomal RNA
Source: RNAcentral
GACGAACGCUGGCGGCGUGCUUAACACAUGCAAGUCGAACGGAAAGGCCCUGCUUUUGUGGGGUGCUCGAGUGGCGAACGGGUGAGUAACACGUGAGUAACCUGCCCUUGACUUUGGGAUAACUUCAGGAAACUGGGGCUAAUACCGGAUAGGAGCUCCUGCUGCAUGGUGGGGGUUGGAAAGUUUCGGCGGUUGGGGAUGGACUCGCGGCUUAUCAGCUUGUUGGUGGGGUAGUGGCUUACCAAGGCUUUGACGGGUAGCCGGCCUGAGAGGGUGACCGGCCACAAUAGGCCGGAGAUACGGCCCAGACUACAACGGGAGGCAGGAGUGGGGAAGAGUGCACAAGGGGCGGAAGGCUGAUGCAGCAAAGCCGCGUGGGGGAAGACGGGCUUCGGGUUGUAAACCGAUUUCGCCUGUGACGAAGCGUGAGUGACGGUAAUGGGUAAAGAAGCACCGGCUAACUACGUG